CGUUAUCCUAAGGGGCGGCCAAUUUAUUGGCCUGAGAAGUACCCUUUGAACCUGAUCCGGAUUAUGCCGGCGUAGGAAUAGGAAAUCUUGACUGG
This 95-nucleotide non-coding RNA is filed under the name marine actinobacterium K362. Its description in RNAcentral is "marine gamma TPP sequence". It matches the Rfam family "TPP riboswitch aptamer (THI element)". From Rfam's summary of the family: Vitamin B(1) in its active form thiamin pyrophosphate (TPP) is an essential coenzyme that is synthesised by coupling of pyrimidine and thiazole moieties in bacteria. The previously detected thiamin-regulatory element, thi box was extended, resulting in a new, highly conserved RNA secondary structure, the THI element, which is widely distributed in eubacteria and also occurs in some archaea. The record is from RNAcentral. Lineage: Bacteria; Bacillati; Actinomycetota; Actinomycetes.